Penaeus indicus is the source of this 1281-nucleotide long non-coding RNA. RefSeq lists it as uncharacterized. The transcript has 2 exons. NCBI's taxonomy places the organism in Eukaryota, Metazoa, Arthropoda, Malacostraca, Decapoda, Penaeidae. The record is from RefSeq and is a predicted model, not a curated record.
UAAUCCAAAUAUAAAGUCAAAGAUAACUCUUCUUUUUUAGAGUGACUGCAAAGACAUGCUGCUAGAAGAUACUGACAUGCAGGCAUGUAUGAUCCAGACUCUCUGGACACUCAACUUGAAACUAGACAAAUAUUAUAAUCGUACUGGCACCACCUACCGGUUGCACGAAGACAAGGAAGUGAUACUUAUGUCAGGUGUCACAAACAAGCUGAAGGAUUAUAUAAAACAGCUGAUUUUGAUUCCUCCAGAGUCACAAUAGCACUAGUAAACAGAUGCUAAUAUUUCAAUUUCCUUCCUUUUUUCUUAUUCACUUUUUUCUUCCUUUCUUUCCUUUCCUUACUGAUUUUAUUCUGAUGUAUAAAUUCAUAUGUGUGAGGAUUGAUUCAUCAACAUUAUCAUCAUUAUCAUUGCAGACCAAGUUGUAUAUUGUACAUUAUUCAGGUGUAGACUGUGUUUUUUUAAUCACUUGAUGACAAAGAUAUAAAGGAGAUUUUUUUCUUCUCAGAAUCAAUUGAUUUAAUUUAUUUUCUAAAAAUUGAAUUAGUUUGCUUUUAAUAUAUUUUGUACUCAGGCAAAGGCAGUUUCCAUAAGCAUGAAUCUGUAUUGUUGAUUUUCUUUUUGUCUAGAAAUAUUUCUCAUGUUCUUAUAUUCAGAAAGAAAUAGUAUAGAACAGAAUGGAUUUUUUUUUAUAUGAAUAUAUAGAUGAACUUGUCAGGACUUUGACUGAAUGAUCGAAUUUUUGUUAAGAGAAAUUUUGCAGAUUAUUCUUUACAACCAUGUUUAUAUUAUAUCAUAAUUUUUGACACAAAUUUUGUGAGUUUAUCCAUAUGAAUGUAUGGAUGUCUGAUGCAUUAUGUGCUAUUUGUUAUGAAUAGAUUGUACUUUUAUGGCACUAAAAGCAGAUGUGUCAAUCCUUUUAGAAUUUGGGCCUUAAGUGGUUUAGAUUUUGUUUCAGAUUUUUUUCCUUCUGUUCAUAUUCUUUCUUUCUCAUUCUCCAUCUUCAUCUUUUCAAAUGAAAAUGUAGAUUGAUGUUCUUAUGUCUCUUUUUUUUACCAUUCUGUUGUGAUAGUCUUUUAUACAACCUAAGAUCUCAAGAUGGCCUUGAGGUGUUGUAAUUGAGGUAGUUUUCAUAAAUAUUUUAAUUUCAGUGUAACUAUUGUGUUAUUAUUACUGAUCACUGUUGAUUAUAAUGAUAUUCAGAAAUUUCCGUUGCUUUGUGUAUGUAAGUCCAAUAAAGUUUUUAUUUCAGAGUCUGAAAAGCAAAUAAACACUUGAAUUUUC